RNAcentral lists this ribosomal RNA (336 nucleotides) under Triticum aestivum (bread wheat). RNAcentral's name for it is "partial small subunit ribosomal RNA". Lineage: Eukaryota; Viridiplantae; Streptophyta; Magnoliopsida; Poales; Poaceae. The record is from RNAcentral.
AUGGCUUCUUCUGGUUCCGUGACGAGGCCACCAUGUGCUAACUGCGAGGAUAUGCCGGACAAGUGGACAUACGCCGAGUUGGAUAAGGUGAAGGACAAAGAUAUGAGAACUCCAUCAUGUUGGUGUGGAGAUGUUUGCAAAGUUAAGGUAUCCACCGACCACAAGAAAUCAUGGACAGGAAGAGGAUAUUUUGUUUGUCCCAACUAUGCCUACGAUCGUCCUCAUCCAGCUCACGCCUAUGAUGUACCGCCGAUAAGUUGUUCAAGUUCAAACAUGUCGUCAACCAUUGAAUCUAUCUUACUAAUGACACCACAUUUCUUCUUUAUUCGUACCUAG